UACGUAGGGGGCAAGCGUUGUCCGGAAUCAUUGGGCGUAAAGAGCGUGUAGGCGGCCCGAUAAGUCCGCUGUGAAAGUCCAGGGCUCAACCCUGGAAUGCCGGUGGAUACUGUCGGGCUCGAAUCCGGAAGAGGUGAGUGGAAUUCCUGGUGUAGCGGUGAAAUGCGCAGAUAUCAGGAGGAACACCAAUGGCGAAGGCCGCUCACUGGGACGGUAUUGACGCUGAGACGCGAAAGCGUGGGGAGCAAACAGG
This 253-nucleotide ribosomal RNA is filed under the name uncultured bacterium. Its description in RNAcentral is "partial 16S ribosomal RNA". It matches the Rfam family "Bacterial small subunit ribosomal RNA", at positions 524 to 776 of the family's 1533-position model. The record is from RNAcentral.